RNAcentral lists this ribosomal RNA (1032 nucleotides) under Triticum aestivum (bread wheat). Its description in RNAcentral is "partial small subunit ribosomal RNA". The record is from RNAcentral. Lineage: Eukaryota; Viridiplantae; Streptophyta; Magnoliopsida; Poales; Poaceae.
AUGCCUUCCUCCCCAUCCCCCGUCGUCGUCCUCAGCGACGACGAAAGCGGCGACGACGGCGCCGCAUCCGGCGCGCUCUCGAGGUCCGCCGCCGACCGCAUCGCCUCCACCCUGACCACCCAGGCCGCGGUCGACGCCCUCUGCAAGAAUCGCGACGUGCCGCGGAAGUUCGCCGCGCGCCCCGCCGGCGCCCCGCCACCGCCUCAGCCUUCUCCCCGUUCAACUGUUGCCAAAGGGAUGGAUCCACCCGCCCGCGACAUGACUGACAGUAUGCCAGCGGAGAAGACGGCGGCGCCGGCGGCAAGGACGGGGCAGGUGAAAAGAGAGGCGCACGGCGACACGCUUCCAUUGUCCGGAAAGAAGAGGAGACGGGAGGAGGUGACUGCAACAGACGGGCAUGACGGCGCCGCCCCGGUGUCCAACCCGCGUGCCCCGCCGGGCUUUGACCCACGGUCACCGCACUCUGCCGUACCCGACACACUCGACUGGAAGGCCGUGCAGAAGAUUCUAGAGGGCCUGGUCACGCCGUCGCGGGAGUGCCACUUCGCGGCCUCGAAGCCCUCCGACCUCCUGGCGUCGAGCUACGUAGCAGUGCUCCAGGUACAUUUCCAAACAAAUCGUUCGUCCGUAGGUGCAUGUCUGGAUCAGCAUCACAUUGUUUGUUAUGCCAUUCGGCGGCAACAAUGGCGCGUGCAGGCCGCGAACUACGCGACCUUCUCCACGUCCUACGCGCUGGAGCUGGACGAAAAGGUUCUGGCGUGCGAGCGCGACAACCUGGCGCUGUGGGAGCAAGUGGAGAAGGAGAAGGCGGCGAGGCAGGCCGCGGAGGCGGAGCUCGAAAAGGUCAAAGCAGAGCUGGAGAGCGCCGAGGCGACGGCGGUGCAGCAGUUCCUGGGGUCCGAGGAGUACACGCGGCGGCUGGCCGAGCAUGCGCUGCCGGCGUACUUGCGCGGCGCUGAGGAAAUGAGGCGCGUCGUGCUCCGGCACUACCCGCACGUCGACGCCGGCAAGCUGGAGCUGCCGCUUGAUUAG